Molecule: long non-coding RNA, 829 nt
Filed under: Lynx canadensis (Canada lynx)
Lineage: Eukaryota; Metazoa; Chordata; Mammalia; Carnivora; Felidae
Description: lncRNA (ENSLCNG00005012526.1)
Source: RNAcentral
CUACCCCACCACUGCGCCCGGCUCCCACCCCAGUCCCCGCCGCUCCCCGAAGCUCCCACUCUCUCCCACAGUCCGCCCCCUCCCGCGCCCUUUCUGCCUCUGGCGUUUGGCUCCCUCCUUGCGCCCCCGCUCCGCCGGCAUCCUCUCCACCUCCAGUGCCCAGGUUCCCUGCCGAGCCGAGCGCGUGUUCGCCUUAGCGGGGAGGGGGCCUCGGCGUUCCCUGCCGAGCGCCGGAGCGCCUCGGACAGUCUGUCCGCUGGGGUUGGAGGAGUUCGGCUGCCGGGUUGUUUCUCGGAUCCGGCAGCCUUGCAGAGUGUGUUGUAAAACCCCUCCCCCGUCAAGAGGGGACCCAGCCAGCCUGCGUCCUGCCAGCUCGGGGGACCGGAGGCGGGUGUCAGUGGUUAGAGGAAAACUUUCCAGCAGAGCGCCUUGCCGCCUUGCCGGAGCAAACCUGGCAUCUGUCAAGAACGCUCUCUGUGCGCUCUUCCUGCAAGGAGCUUCUGUUCCAGUGCAGUAGACGCAGAAGGCAAGCGAAGGUUUGUGCAUCUGAACAGCUAACGCUGAGGACCAGUUGGAAAAUCACAGGCUCCUCAGCCCCAGCUAAUUACUACCUCCAGCAGCACCGCUAUAGGCCGCGGCAUAAAGCAGAAAACGCUUCGUUUUAUGCAAAACCGAGGGUGGCAAAGAAGGCAGCUUCCAACGAGUGGAAAUUGGAUAAUUGAAUCAAUGUGUUCUUUUUUAAAAGCGAGAGGAUGUAGUAAAGUAUCUAAUUUGGACUGAGGGCAAGCAGAAUGGCUUCUCAUGUUUCACACUAAAGAUGGCCCCCCAG